UGGGGAAUAUUGCACAAUGGGCGAAAGCCUGAUGCAGCGACGCCGCGUGAGGGAUGACGGCCUUCGGGUUGUAAACCUCUUUCAGUAGGGACGAAGCGCAAGUGACGGUACCUGCAGAAGAAGCACCGGCUAACUACGUGCCAGCAGCCGCGGUAAUACGUAGGGUGCGAGCGUUGUCCGGAAUUACUGGGCGUAAAGAGCUCGUAGGCGGUUUGUCACGUCGUCUGUGAAAUCCUAGGGCUUAAUCCUGGACGUGCAGGCGAUACGGGCUGACUUGAGUACUACAGGGGAGACUGGAAUUUCUGGUGUAGCGGUGGAAUGCACAGAUAUCAGGAAGAGCACCGAUGGCGAAGGCAGGUCUCUGGGUAGUAACUGACGCUGAGGAGCGAAAGCAUGGGUAGCGAACAGG
This 409-nucleotide ribosomal RNA is filed under the name bacterium. RNAcentral's name for it is "partial 16S ribosomal RNA". It matches the Rfam family "Bacterial small subunit ribosomal RNA", at positions 355 to 776 of the family's 1533-position model. The record is from RNAcentral.